RNAcentral lists this ribosomal RNA (257 nucleotides) under uncultured bacterium. Its description in RNAcentral is "partial 16S ribosomal RNA". It matches the Rfam family "Bacterial small subunit ribosomal RNA", at positions 335 to 589 of the family's 1533-position model. The record is from RNAcentral.
CUACCUACGGGGCGCAGCAGUGAGGAAUAUUGGUCAAUGGGCGGGAGCCUGAACCAGCCAAGACGCGUGAGAGAAGAAGGUACAGCGUAUCGUAAACCUCUUUUGUCAGGGAACAAAGGCGGGGACUAGUCCCCGGAUGAGGGUACCUGAAGAAAAAGCAUCGGCUAACUCCGUGCCAGCAGCCGCGGUAAUACGGAGGAUGCGAGCGUUAUCCGGAUUUAUUGGGUUUGAAGGGUGCGUAGGCGGGCUUUUAAGUC